This 273-nucleotide long non-coding RNA is filed under the name Ananas comosus (pineapple). RNAcentral's name for it is "long non-coding RNA (ACOM_LNC019044)". The record is from RNAcentral. Lineage: Eukaryota; Viridiplantae; Streptophyta; Magnoliopsida; Poales; Bromeliaceae.
GAUUUGAUUAUUCAAUCUUUUAAAAUUUUAAUUUAAUUAUCUAAUUUUUCAGUUUGUUUGAUUUGAGUUGGCCAGCAUUUUUUUUUUGAGUCGUUUAUUAUUACAUGUUUAGUUAAUAUAUUUUAUAUAAUUUUUACAUCUAUAAAUUUAUUAAAAUAAAUAAUUAAUUUAAACUUUGAUGUCAAAAUAUCGUUGACCGAUUAAAAUUAAAUAAAUUAAAAUUGUAAAAGAUUACUAGCAUGUUUAAAAUGAUUUGUAGUUUCUGAUAAAUUU